CUUUUUGUACACUGCCCACAUACCCAACAGGUUUGGUUGCUCUUCAAAGCCUGGACGAAUGCAUAAUUCAUCACCCCCGGUGCUUCUUUCACAUCCACGGAGGACUGGUGGCUUCGGGCUAGGGCGGCAAUCCCGAAGGCGGUCAGGAGGAAUUUUGAUACGGUGAUCAUCCUGCUGCACUGGAGGGUGUGGAAGGAGAACGCCAGGAUCUUUGAGCACAUUUCCAGCCCACCUGACCGGGUUCUGGACCGGAUCAAGGAAGACGUGGCUAUGUGGCGAGCCGCGGGAUGCAUUGCUGAUCUUCCGGCUUAG
RNAcentral lists this ribosomal RNA (312 nucleotides) under Triticum aestivum (bread wheat). RNAcentral's name for it is "partial small subunit ribosomal RNA". The record is from RNAcentral. Lineage: Eukaryota; Viridiplantae; Streptophyta; Magnoliopsida; Poales; Poaceae.